This is a long non-coding RNA of Callithrix jacchus (white-tufted-ear marmoset), 2138 nucleotides long. NCBI's taxonomy places the organism in Eukaryota, Metazoa, Chordata, Mammalia, Primates, Cebidae. The record is from Ensembl.
CCUGAGCUAAUCAAAACGGAAGCGACGCGCGCAGCCGGGAGCAGAUGCUCGCGCCCCGAGCCCGCGGCCCCCGAACUAGGCGCCGGGGCGCGCGGUUGCUGGCGGGGGAAGGGCCCGAGCGCCGAGUCGGGUCGUCCCUCCUCGGCGGAGGCGCCACUGCAGCCGGUCCCCGUCAGGAAGCCGCGAGCGUCACAAACUGCGUCAGCUUCUUCAAACACAUUUCAUGGUCCCCUUACAGCCAGGGAGCCGCUGCUCCCGCGGCGGGGCCGCGGCCGGGGCUGGAAGGCGCCCCUCUGGGGAAGAGAAAGUUCCUCGGGGCCCUCCCUUUGCCCGCCCGGCGCCCGGCCCCGCCGCGCCUUGAGCCCCUCUCCGCGCGCCGCCCGCCCGGCCGCGCCGCCCACCGGCCCGCACCGAGGUCAGGUUAGGCAACUUGUGACCCCGAGGCGCCGGGCGGCCCCUUCCAGCCCGCCAGGCUCGCCCAGCUCCCGGGGCCUCCCCCCGGCCCCGCGGAAAACAGCCACGCCACAAACUUCCCUGGGCCGCGUCGGGCGGGGAAGCCUCCCGGGUCCCCGCGCAUCGCCCUUACCUUGCUCUCGAGAGGCCACGAUCCGGGCGGGCCGCGCGGGGCGCGUGGAGCGCGAGCGCGCGCGCGUGGGGCGGACUGAUGCUGUUAUUCUCAGCCCGAAUUUCUGUUAUUUUUCAUCCCGAUUUUCUCUAACCAUAAGCUGUUUAACUCUGACCUCAUAUGUGAGCUGCUCAGUUCCCAUAAUCAUCUCAGCUCUCCUGUUCUAAUCUAUAGUUUUCAAGGUACAGAAUCAAAAAAGUUAACAAUAAUUACAGUGACGACAACUAACACUUACUGAGUUUGUACUGUGGUCCAGAUAUUGAGCUAACAGAUGUUGUAACAUCCUUCUUAAUUGUCACCACAAUGCUAUGAGGUCGUUAUUGUUAAUAUUUUCUUUUUUUUUUUUUUUUUUUUUUUUUUUGAGACGGAGUUUCGCUCUUGUUACACAGGCUGGAGUGCAAUGGCGCAAUCUCGGCUCACCGCCAUCUCCGCCUCCUGGAUUCAGGCAAUUCUCCUGCCUCAGCCUCCCGAGCAGCUGGGAUUACAGGCACGCACCACCGUGCUCAGCUAAUUUUUUGUAAUUUUAGUAGAGACGGGGUUUCACCAUGUUGACCAAGAUGGUCUCGAUCUCCUGACCUCGUGAUCCACCCGCCUCGGCCUCCCAAAGUGCUGGGAUUACAGGCUUGAGCCACCGCGCCCGGCCGUUAAUAUUUUCAUUUUACACAUGAGGAACCUGAAGAGAGCUUAUGUAACUUUCCCCAAGAAGGUAGCACGUGGAGGAAUUGGAGCUGAGUUUUUAACCUGUGUUCAACUUUUACCUAAUACCUAGCAUUGCCCUUUCAGUGCUAGUUCUAUUUUUUUUUUUUUUAAUAAAAAUGUGCUGCCUCUCCGAGCAGAAUCCUUUAGAAGCAAAGGGCCCAUGGUCCAGCCUUCAGUUCACACUUCUGUACUUGGCACAGCACUUGGCAUGCUGUAGCCAAUACUCUUUUGAAAAGAGAGAUUAAGCAACUUGCCAAAAUCAUUCAGGUAGUAAAUGAUAGACCCACGUUUGGAACACAUAACCCACUCAUCACAUCCUCUCAUGAAGUUCUCAUCAGCACCAGGCUCAGUGCACCAGGUGAGUCCCCUUUCUUUUUUGAGGUCACCCCCACUUGGCUUCUGAGCAUCCCAAGUAGGAAGUUUUGUCCACUCCUACCCCCACGUUCAUUUUUCUCUCUCCUUAGCAGACAGUGGUCCUAAACCUAGUGAACUAAAUUUACUGGUAAAUGGCUCAUGGGCUAACGGCACUUUGGUGGUUGUCUUUUGGUAAUUUUAUUGUUAGGAAGAUGUUGUCAACCCCAGCACUUUCCAUUUGGGAGCUUUUCCAGAGGUCGAAAUCUCUCAAUUUACAAUCAGAACAUGAGGGCGGCAGCAAGUACUGCACAGCCCGGUCCUGGUGCGCCCCCGCCACCCCGCCACACCGUUAGUCCCACGCGCUGGCCACGUGCGCGCCCCCGGCAUAGCCUUCGGAGGCACCACACAGCAUUUUAGGAAGGCGACCCAUCACCGGGUCUUCAUGAGAGAAACGUGGCUG